UAAUACGGAGGAUGCAAGCGUUAUCCGGAUUCAUUGGGUUUAAAGGGUGCGCAGGCGGGCUUGUAAGUCAGUGGUGAAAUGCUGCCGCUUAACGGUAGAAUUGCCAUUGAUACUGCAGGUCUUGAAUAUGGUUGAGGUAGGCGGAAUGUGUUGUGUAGCGGUGAAAUGCAUAGAUAUGACACAGAACACCGAUUGCGAAGGCAGCUUACUAAGCCAUGAUUGACGCUGAGGCACGAAAGCGUGGGGAGCGAACAGG
Molecule: ribosomal RNA, 256 nt
Filed under: uncultured bacterium
Lineage: Bacteria
Description: partial 16S ribosomal RNA
Rfam family: Bacterial small subunit ribosomal RNA
Source: RNAcentral